GACAAAACUGCGCCCUCCGUUCCAGAUGACUGCCCGUACGGUGACCAGCCCGGUGUAGUCACUAACGGGUACACCUGUGCUCAGAUCGGUACGGACGCCCACAAACACAGGUGCUAUGAUGCUCACACCAAAAAGCGGUGCUGUGCCUCGUGUGCUGCUGUUGCAAACAAUGCUAGAUCAGGCUGCGAAUGGGGAGACGAAUCCACGACCUGCCAUCAUAACUCAUGCUCCCACUACAACGCCGACAAGCUACGGAGGUGUUGUCAGACCUGCGGUGGAACUGCCAUAGUCGGGAAAUAAUGUUUUACCGGGCUGUAACACAUCGAGUUGUAUGAGUACUAGAAAUAAAAUAAACAACCGCAGCUA
Long non-coding RNA from Mya arenaria, 366 nucleotides. RefSeq lists it as uncharacterized. The transcript has 3 exons. The record is from RefSeq and is a predicted model, not a curated record. Lineage: Eukaryota; Metazoa; Mollusca; Bivalvia; Myida; Myidae.